UACGUAGGGGGCAAGCGUUAUCCGGAUUUACUGGGUGUAAAGGGAGCGUAGACGGCUUUGCAAGCCAGAUGUGAAAGCCCGGGGCUCAACCUCGGGACUGCAUUUGGAACUGUAUGGCUGGAGUGUCGGAGAGGCAGGCGGAAUUCCUAGUGUAGCGGUGAAAUGCGUAGAUAUUAGGAGGAACACCAGUGGCGAAGGCGGCCUGCUGGACGGUGACUGACGCUGAGGCUCGAAAGCGUGGGGAGCAAACAGG
Molecule: ribosomal RNA, 253 nt
Filed under: uncultured bacterium
Lineage: Bacteria
Description: partial 16S ribosomal RNA
Rfam family: Bacterial small subunit ribosomal RNA
Source: RNAcentral